This 383-nucleotide unclassified non-coding RNA is filed under the name soil metagenome. RNAcentral describes it as "partial contains 5.8S ribosomal RNA, internal transcribed spacer 2, and large subunit ribosomal RNA". The stretch from base 1 to 120 matches the Rfam family "5.8S ribosomal RNA", at positions 35 to 154 of the family's 154-position model. The record is from RNAcentral.
GAUGAAGAACGUAGCGAAGUGCGAUAAGUAAUGUGAAUUGCAGAAUUCCGUGAAUCAUCGAAUCUUUGAACGCAAAUUGCACUCUCUGGUAUCCCGGGGAGUAUGCCUGUUUGAGGGUCAGUGUUAAUAAAAAUCGGUGCGUUGCACUUUAUUGUGACGUUCUGGAGUUUGAGUUAUCUUAACUUUUAGGUUAAGAGGCUUAAAAUUGACCUUUUUUUUGUGCAUUUUAGACGUACAUAAAUUUUCUUUUAUUUGUCUUUUAAUGCCAAAAUUAUAUUAGAUGCGACCAUAUCGUGUGGUUUCGUGUCUAUAAAUUUUUCAUGAUUUGACCUCAAAUCAGGUAGGAGUACCCGCUGAACUUAAGCAUAUCAAUAAGCGGAGGA